Molecule: long non-coding RNA, 1411 nt
Filed under: Theobroma cacao (cacao)
Lineage: Eukaryota; Viridiplantae; Streptophyta; Magnoliopsida; Malvales; Malvaceae
Description: long non-coding RNA (TCAC_LNC005089)
Source: RNAcentral
GGUUUUUGCAGGUCAAAAAGCUAAGCGAAACAGGUUCAAAGUCUUCAGAAACUCAAACAUGUCACUUUUUACUUUCCUGUGAGAAGGGAAAGUGUUGGAGUGCAGACCUCCUUAGCAGCAUUUUCGCCAUUUAUUUGGUACCCAUCUUUGGCUUAUUAAAUAUCCCAAUCUGUCGUGGUUGCAUGGAGAUUUCAGAAAGAGGGAGAAGCGAGAAUGAAGGAGUCGAAGAGAUGCUAAAAAAGAAAGUAAAAAAAAACAGAGGUGCUAAUGGAAAAUUGAUUGACAGGUACAGGGCCUCCUGGCUGGGAGGCUAAGCUAAGCUAAGCAUACAGAUAGAGCUUUUACCUAACACCCAUGAAAGCACAUGCUGUAGGGACCCGUGGGGAAAUAAAUACUCCCCUGUCCUGGUGGAGUAUCUUCGAAUUGAACAGGAAGGUUGGGGAAAUGUAAGGCUCUGGAAACUUAAUUCCAUGGUUUUCAUUUUACCAAUGACACAAUCAAAUUCCAAGCAGUCUUAACCUUUUUCUUUGUUCUGUUUGAAUGGAAGCAGAUUAGCGCCAUGAAUCUGGGUUUUAUUUUCUCGAUCAUUGAUUUCUUUUCCAAGAGAGCCAGACAAUGAUGCUGUGAAUAUUCCAAUAUCCCAUGAUUCAGUGCAUUUAUGCUCUGGGAUUUCUUGGAAUUAAUUAUCCAAUCAGUAUCUCUGAUUUUGGUUUUUUUUUCCCUGUUGCAGGAGCCUAAGGUUGAUCCAAGUGGACCUUCAGGCCUUGGUUUCUAGGCACUAGUUGAAGGGUAACGGUCGUAGAAAGAAGGCCAUCAAACUUACAGAUGCUUUCACAUAUUACGAUGGGGCUCUUUUUUCUUCAUUUGCCACCAUAUUUAUUAGUAGUUGCUUAACCUUUUUUCCUUCACACGUCAUUUUCUUACCUUGCAAAUAAUAUAUGUAAUUGGGUCGAAAGAGAAGAUAAUGCCUUUUUUUUUUAAGACUAUUUAGUAAUGUUGCUUUGCUUGGAUCAAAAUUUUAAACAAUUUUGAUUGAUUAAAACACGAUAGACAUGUGAAAAGAGUCUCCAUGGUCCGUAUACACAGAUGACUGGUCUGGUUCAGACCAAAAAUUGACAUGAUGAAUGGCAUGAGGAUGAGAUACCUAUUGAAAAAGAGACAAGUGCUUUUGUCCACCCGUGACCUAUCAUUUCAUAAUUUUCCCAACCCAAUGUUAGUAGCAGUAACAGCAGGGUUUUAUCAACUCCAUCACAUGGGGCUAGCUAGGAGAGGAUCCUUCAUCUUACAAUCAUUACUGUGUAUGCUCAAGCCUUUAAUUUCUUUUUUUAUUUUUUAUUUUCUUGCGGUAUGUAUUCAAGCCAGUUAAUUGGUUUUGAAGGUUAUACCAAUAAAAUAAAAGUUCUUUCCAUUG